RNAcentral lists this ribosomal RNA (484 nucleotides) under Streptococcus mutans. Its description in RNAcentral is "bacterial SSU rRNA". It matches the Rfam family "Bacterial small subunit ribosomal RNA", at positions 28 to 488 of the family's 1533-position model. The record is from RNAcentral. Lineage: Bacteria; Bacillati; Bacillota; Bacilli; Lactobacillales; Streptococcaceae.
GACGAACGCUGGCGGCGUGCCUAAUACAUGCAAGUGGGACGCAAGGGAACACACUGUGCUUGCACACCGUGUUUUCUUGAGUCGCGAACGGGUGAGUAACGCGUAGGUAACCUGCCUAUUAGCGGGGGAUAACUAUUGGAAACGAUAGCUAAUACCGCAUAAUAUUAAUUAUUGCAUGAUAAUUGAUUGAAAGAUGCAAGCGCAUCACUAGUAGAUGGACCUGCGUUGUAUUAGCUAGUUGGUAGGGUAAGAGCUUACCAAGGCGACGAUACAUAGCCGACCUGAGAGGGUGAUCGGCCACACUGGGACUGAGACACGGCCCAGACUCCUACGGGAGGCAGCAGUAGGGAAUCUUCGGCAAUGGACGAAAGUCUGACCGAGCAACGCCGCGUGAGUGAAGAAGGUUUUCGGAUCGUAAAGCUCUGUUGUAAGUCAAGAACGUGUGUGAGAGUGGAAAGUUCACACAGUGACGGAGCUACCAGAA